RNAcentral lists this ribosomal RNA (365 nucleotides) under uncultured soil bacterium. RNAcentral's name for it is "bacterial SSU rRNA". It matches the Rfam family "Bacterial small subunit ribosomal RNA", at positions 26 to 378 of the family's 1533-position model. The record is from RNAcentral.
AGAGUGAACGCUGGCGGCAGGCCUAACACAUGCAAGUCGAACGGCAGCACAGCAGAGCUUGCUCUGUGGGUGGCGAGUGGCGGACGGGUGAGGAAUACGUCGGAAUCUGCCUUUUUGUGGGGGAUAACGUAGGGAAACUUACGCUAAUACCGCAUACGACCUACGGGUGAAAGCGGAGACCUUCGGGCUUCGCGCAGAAAGAUGGAGCCGACGUCGGAUUAGCUAGGUUGGAGGGGUAAUGGACCCACCAAGGCGACGAUCCGUAGCUGGUCUGGAGAGGAUGAUCAGCCACACGUGGACUGACGACACGGCCCAGUACCUCCGUAGGGAGCAGCGAGGUAGGGGAAUAGUUGGACAAGGUGGGC